Molecule: ribosomal RNA, 392 nt
Filed under: Isochrysidales sp.
Lineage: Eukaryota; Haptophyta; Isochrysidales
Description: partial small subunit ribosomal RNA
Rfam family: Eukaryotic small subunit ribosomal RNA
Source: RNAcentral
AUUCCAGCUCCAAUAGUGUAUAUUAAAGUUGUUGCAGUUAAAAAGCUCGUAGUUGGAUUUCUGGCGGGAGCGAUCGGUCCUUCACUCAGUGUUGGAACCUGAUUGUCUCCUGCCAUCCAUGGAGAAAACUUAUCUGGCAUUAAGUUGUCGGGUAGGCAAUCUCCAUCCUUUACUUUGAAAAAAUCAGAGUGUUUCAAGCAGGCAGUCGCUCUUGCAUGGAUUUGCAUGGGAUAAUGAAAUAGGACUCUGGUGCUAUUUUGUUGGUUUCGAACACCGGAGUAAUGAUUAACAGGGACAGUCAGGGGCACUCGUAUUCCGCCGAGAGAGGUGAAUUUCUCAGACCAGCGGAAGACGAACCACUGCGAAAGCGUUUGCCAGGGAUGUUUUCAUCG